UGCACGACCUGCGCAUGUGAAUUUGUUGAUGGCUUACUAUGGUGAGGCUGCUUCUCUCCAGAGGAGCCAACAUUAAUGCCUUUGACAAGAAGGAUCGCCGAGCAAUCCACUGGGCUGCUUACAUGGGGCACAUUGAGGUGGA
Coregonus clupeaformis (lake whitefish) is the source of this 142-nucleotide long non-coding RNA. RefSeq lists it as uncharacterized. The transcript has 3 exons. NCBI's taxonomy places the organism in Eukaryota, Metazoa, Chordata, Actinopteri, Salmoniformes, Salmonidae. The record is from RefSeq and is a predicted model, not a curated record.